RNAcentral lists this ribosomal RNA (433 nucleotides) under uncultured bacterium. Its description in RNAcentral is "partial 16S ribosomal RNA". It matches the Rfam family "Bacterial small subunit ribosomal RNA", at positions 29 to 507 of the family's 1533-position model. The record is from RNAcentral.
AACGAACGCUGGCGGCAUGCCUAACACAUGCAAGUCGAACGAGACCUUCGGGUCUAGUGGCGCACGGGUGCGUAACGCGUGGGAACCUGCCCUGAGGUUCGGAAUAACUCCCCGAAUGGGGUGCUAAUACCGGCUAUUGUCCUCGGUCCAAAGAUUUAUCGCCUUUGGAUGGGCCCGCGUUGGAUUAGCUAGUUGGUAGGGUAAAAGCCUACCAAGGCGACGAUCCAUAGCUGGUCUGAGAGGAUGAUCAGCCACACUGGGAGUGGGACACGGCCCAGACUCCUACGGGAGGCAGCAGUGGGGAAUAUUGGACAAUGGGCGAAAGCCUGAUCCAGCAAUGCCGCGUGAGUGAUGAAGGCCUUAGGGUUGUAAAGCUCUUUUACCCGGGAUGAUAAUGACAGUACCGGGAGAAUAAGCUCCGGCUAACUCCGUG